This 1247-nucleotide long non-coding RNA is filed under the name Sus scrofa (pig). Its description in RNAcentral is "lncRNA (ENSSSCG00070016134.1)". The record is from RNAcentral. Lineage: Eukaryota; Metazoa; Chordata; Mammalia; Artiodactyla; Suidae.
AAAGGUCAGAGGAUGCCUCUUGGAAGAUUUGACCUUGGAACCGAGACCUGAAGGACCAGCAGAUCAAAGGGAAAAGUUUUUCAGGUAGAAGGAACUGCAAAUACAAAGGCUCAGAGGCUCAGUCAUGCUCAGUGGCUUAACUAUGAAUGAGGGAGCACAGAGUGAGAGAUGAGGUGGGAGAGGCAGACAGUGAUCCAGUCAUCAGGGCCUCACAGGCUGUGAUAAGAAGCUGGAUGAUAUUCCUCAGAAGGAAGGAGACAGAGGCAGGUGGCACGCUGUGUAAACCGUGAAAAGCAUUAUGAAAAUAUCUGCAAAUCGUGUGCUGUCUCCAAAUAUUUCAACAUAAAUAUUUGCUGGAGGCAGGUCCAACUUCCCAGCGCAAGAGGAGGACAGAAGGUGAGCAAAGAAAGAAAAUACAGCACGAGUAAAACAGCAUCCCUCUUCCUGUUGAGAUGCGAAGGCGCCAGCACACUGCGCUCCAUGUUCUCAUACUCCGCGUGUGCAGACAGAUGGCGAAUCCGCGUCGAUGCUGGGAUGGGUUCUGGGCCCUGCAUGAUGAUGCGAGAAAAGGGAAUCGAAGUCGGGUCCACUGCCGUCUGCACUGUAAGGAGGUUCCUGAAAGCCUGCUGCCCACGAGACGGAACCUUCUAUGAUUGCUGCUGAUGAAGGCUCUCCCCAGCGUUGCUUAUGCAGUGACAGCAAGCAAAACGGCCACCUCACACAGCGGCUUCCUCGGAGUGGGGAGGAGGGACAUCGAUGGAGCAUCUCUGAGGUGACCUCCUGGCCAUUAAUGAUUCUUCAAGUGAAUCAAGCCAGAAUCAGAGAUUCCCAGAGGGAUGUGCCGGUGGUUCAGCAUGUUACCGCUAGGGGGCGCCAGCAGAGCACAGACCUGCCAGUGAGGCUUCCUCCAGCCAGACUUCUUUGUGAGCUGAGAAGGUGCCUUUUCCUCCCUUAUUUCUUUAUUCCACAGCCCACCACACAAUAGAUGUGAGUGAGAGUGAGUAAGACUUGUUGGGGGACAGAACACCUACAGUGGGUGCGUUUAGAGCCUCCGUGGACAAGCCAUAUAUUAGACUGGAAUUUCUCCCAAUCUGGCCUGACACCCCCAUUUCCCGAUGCCAGGUGUUCUUUAACAUGCAGAUUCACCCUGCCAUCAUGGAAUCAAAAGGGCAUCGGGCCCAGGAAUCUGCAUUUAUACCAAGAGUGGAAGAUUUGGUAAGCCAAAUAAACUUGGAGAACCCAUUUCA